Molecule: ribosomal RNA, 100 nt
Organism: Cricetulus griseus (Chinese hamster)
Lineage: Eukaryota; Metazoa; Chordata; Mammalia; Rodentia; Cricetidae
Source: Ensembl
CAUACCACCCUGAAUGUGCUCAAUCUCCUCUGAUCUUGGAAGCUAAGUAUUCUUGGGCCUGGUUAGUACUUGGAUAGGAGAAAUUUCUUGAGACCCAGCU